This is a non-coding RNA of Vicia faba (fava bean), 204 nucleotides long. Lineage: Eukaryota; Viridiplantae; Streptophyta; Magnoliopsida; Fabales; Fabaceae. The record is from the annotation of a GenBank genome assembly.
AUGCCGGAAAAAAUCAUGAUCUUCCAAAAGAUGCGGGUUUCUAAUAUCCGCUAUAAAACGUUGCUAGCUUCACUUUCUCUCAUUCAGCUGCCAUCACCUAGGGUUCCGACUGAUCAAAACACCGUUCACGAUGAGAGCCAAGUGGAAGAAGAAGCGUAUGAGGAGAUUGAAGAGGAAGCGUCGAAAGAUGAGACAGAGAUCUAA